UGAAUAUGAACCUCUUGCUGCAAGUUUGGUUCCUCUUGAAAAAGUGCAGAGUCUGUCAUUUUUCUCCUACAAUGGACAUUAAAGACCUGAUGAAAAGACCCUGAAGUCAAUUUAAAGGAACCAGUUAACUUCGGUGGCUUUGGUUCGGAGUCCAGGCAGGAACAUUAGCUGCAUGCACAGAACAUGAAUUUCCUUGUUGUACAAUGCCCUUCAAGUCCUACUGAAAGGAGUUGUCCUUUCUCAAAUAGAAUACAUACCUACGCAUCAUGUCUGCGAAGAUGAUUUGCGUGAUUGCUUAGUGCAGCUAGCGCUGGGUCUGCUGACUCCAGGAGUACUCCUCCUGACUAGGACAGGCAGAGUCGUGUUCAGAAAGCUGGGACUAAAGCUCUGAAGAGUUUUGAAGAUGAAUGUUAGUAUUGAAUUCUACUUAGAAAUUAAGGAAAAGAAUAAAGCAAUCUAUAAGGUACAGAUGAAAUAUACUUCCUUUCUGU
Phalacrocorax carbo (great cormorant) is the source of this 491-nucleotide non-coding RNA. The record is from RefSeq and is a predicted model, not a curated record. NCBI's taxonomy places the organism in Eukaryota, Metazoa, Chordata, Aves, Suliformes, Phalacrocoracidae.